Non-coding RNA from Plasmodium blacklocki (nom. inval.), 1323 nucleotides. NCBI's taxonomy places the organism in Eukaryota, Apicomplexa, Aconoidasida, Haemosporida, Plasmodiidae. The record is from the annotation of a GenBank genome assembly.
UUCAUAUUUGAUAUUUCAUAUAAAAAUAUAUAUUAUUGGCAUAUGGUUAAGUUCAACUUUUUUUUGUUCAUUAAAAAAGGUUAAUUUUCAAAAUUUGAAUAUAAAGAAAGCUUAAUAUGGACAUAUACAUAUAUACUUGUAUUCUCUUGUUAAUAUAUUUUAUUAUUUAUUAUUAAUAUAAGAAGUUCUUGACAUAUGAGAAUAAAACAUUGUCCAUAUUAAAUUAAUAUAAAAUAUGGAUUACAUGAUAUUUGUUAUUUCAUUGUUUCAAAAUAUAAGGUAAUGUAUAUAAUGAAUGUACACAUAAUAUGAAUGAUUAUAUGUAUAUAUAUAUAUAUAUAUAUAUAUAUAUAUAUAUUUUAUUUUAUAUAAAUAGAAAUAUUGUGCAUAAUGUAUUCAUAUAUUUCUUAAAAAAUAUUUAUACCUUCAUUUUUGUUGUUGAACAUUUCCAUUUUUCUUUAACACUUUAAUUUUUUUUUUUUUAACUUUCAAUGGAAAAUUAUGAUAAUUGUAAAAAUGUAGAGAUGGUGUUCUGUCAAAGCAUAUAGUAGACAUAUCACAUAUAAAUUAUGAUGUAUGACAUAUAAAUUAUGAUGUAUGACAUAUAAAUUAUGAUGUAUGACAUAUAAAUUGUUAUGUAUGACAUAUAAAUUGUUAUGUAUGACAUAUAAAUUGUUAUGUAUGACAUAUAAAUUGUUAUGUAUGUCAUAUAAAUUGUUAUGUAUGUCAUAUAAAUUAUUAUGUAUGGCAUAUAAUUUGUUAUGUAUGAUAUAUUAAAUAUAUAACAUUUAAAAUAUAUACAUAUUUUGACAUAUAAAUAUUACAUAUAUAUAGAAUUUUAUUUAAAAAAAUAAUUUCCAUGCCACAAUAUUUUUUUACACACAAAUAUGCACUUCAAAUGAUAUGUAUAAUAUGUAUAAUAUGUAUAAUAUGUAUAACAUAUUUUAUAUAUGUACAUUUUUUUUAAUAUAUUUUAACAAAAUGUAAAAAUAAUAUAAUUAACAAAAAAAAAAAAAAAAAAAUUAUAGUAUGGUAAUAAUAUACAUUAUUUCAUAUAUUUAUGAUAUUAUAAAUUAUUAUUUUCAUUUUUUUUUUUUUUUUUUUGUGUAUAUUGUAAAAUAGGAACUGCAUAUGCAUGUAAUUUUAUGUAUAUAUAAUAUUUUUCUUUAUUAUAUGUGUAUUAUUUUAUUUUAUAUUAUAUUUUACCACGUUUACACGUAAUGCAUGUUAAUUUUAUUUGUGAGCACAUCGGAUGUAUGAUAUCUAAAAAGAAGAAAUAAAAUAUGAAAAGUUUAAAAAAUAUAAAAAAAUAAAUAUCUUUUU